This 481-nucleotide ribosomal RNA is filed under the name uncultured bacterium. RNAcentral describes it as "partial 16S ribosomal RNA". It matches the Rfam family "Bacterial small subunit ribosomal RNA", at positions 28 to 523 of the family's 1533-position model. The record is from RNAcentral.
GACGAACGCUGGCGGCGUGCUUAACACAUGCAAGUCGAGCGGAAAGGCCACUUCGGUGGUACUCGAGCGGCGAACGGGUGAGUAACACGUGAGUAAUCUGCCCCUGGCUUUGGGAUAGCCACCGGAAACGGUGAUUAAUACCGGAUACGACCACUUCUCGCAUGGGAUGGUGGGGGAAAGUUUUUUCGGCCAGGGAUGUGCUAGCGGCCUAUCAGCUUGAUGGUGAGGUAAUGGCUCACCAUGGCUUCGACGGGUAGCCGGCCUGGGAGGGUGACCGGUCACACGGGGACUGGGCAACGGACAAGACUCGUACGGGGGGCAGAAGUGGGGAAUAUGGGAGAAUGGGCGGAAGCCUGAUCCAGCAACGCCGCGUGAGGGAUGACGGCCUUCGGGUUGUAAACCUCUUUCAGCAGGGACGAAGCGCAAGUGACGGUACCUGCAGAAGAAGCACCGGCCAACUACGUGCCAGCCGCCGCGGUAA